GUAUGUAUGAAUUUUGAAUCAUUUGAUCAAGUUUUUAAAAAAUCUCUUGGGUUUUGCUUGAGGUCUCAUUGAAUUUGUAGUGUAGGUUAAUGAUCAUUCAUUAUUAAUUGGUUUCGCAGAUAUGUAUCAAGUUCCUGCUAUGAACCAGACUAACUGCUAGAGUAGUGGAAAAAAAAAGUCUUCCCUAUGGAACAUCUGCAUAAAAGAGUCAAAACCAUGGGGGAGCCAUAGCCAUGGGCUCCCUAAACGUUUGCUGAAAAAUCACUGGCAUGGGGCAGAUUGGUUCAUAGGAUAAAAGACAUACAAACUUACUUACCAUGUAUACACAGGAGCCUUCAGGAUGAAGAUGCAACCCAAAAAUAAGAUAUGAUAGGUUAUAUACCAUCCUGAGGCCACAGUAAAGAAUGCAGACUCAGAACAUGGCCAAAAGCAAGUUAUGUUGGUAAAUCAGGUUUAGUGGCAAGACAGGGAGAAAAAAAGAAGCUUGGCUGGCAAGGGGAGCCUUGCUAUGUAGAUGAAGCCUCCCUGAGAGAGAAUAGAUGGUAAAUGUUUCUUUUCAGACUGUUGAAGAUCUCAGACUCACGAAGAUGUCAGACUCUCAAUCCCUCCUGGAUCUUGAAAGCAUGCAGGAAAAAACUUUCAAAAGGUUACAACCAGAGACCUGAAGGAAGCAAGGAAGAAAGCCACAUGGUUGUCAAAGAGAAGAGGAAAGGAGAACACUAAGCUGGAUGACGUUCUCUGUUUCUUUGAAAACAGAGAAGAUGACAAGUUAAGGAGAGAUCAGAGGUCAUACUGUGAAGCAUCUUUGGAUAAAUGGCAGGGACUUUGGAAUUUCUUUUUGAAUGUGAGCAUAAUCCAUUGAAAGGUGUCAUGCAGGGAAGUGGCAAAACACUUUUAAAAUUUUUCAUCUUUUCUUUCUGAAGUAGAGUUCACUCUCCAUUUAUUUGUCUUCUUUGAUAUCUCUCAAUAGAAUGUUGCAGUUUUAGUAUUCUCCUAUUAAACAUUUGUUUAACUUUCUUGUUCUUCUAAAUCAUAAUUUAUUUUCAUAAUUAGUGUCUCCGAAAUGCCAGAGUUUCUGACUAGGUCUGCUACUCACCACACAAAAAGCCAAUCACUGAGACACAAGUAUUGACAGGUAAGAAGGCUUUAAUCAGGUGCUGCAGCCUAGUUGAUGAGAGAUUAGUCUCAAAUCCACCUCCCUGAUGGACUAAAAUCUGGGGAUUAUGUAGUAGAGAAGAAAUGUGACUAUAUCUGAGAAAAUAGGAAUCGGGGAAGGAUAAGCAAGAGGAGUUGGUCAACAAGACACAGGUGGUCAGUUAGGCCACCAUGAUGGGUGAGGGAUCUGGCAUCCCAUUGUCUAGAUGCGGUGAUCUCAGUGAUCUCGUGAGUUUUAGCUCCUUGAUACUAUCUAGGAGGCCUGAGGGUUGGUUUCCUAAGAAACGAACUCAGGUAAGAGAGAAAUGUCACUUUCUUAAGUUUCAUGACUAGGAAGGUCAAUUUCUAUGUUUAUUCAAAAAAACCCAUAAACAUCAGUUCUGUGGGACAAUUGGGUCAGUUUCAUCAGCAUUUUAGCAAAAAACAUCUUAUAGGUCCCUUCAGUAGUUAAUUCGCAGGGUCUGUGAACACUGUGUUGUACCAAUGAUUCAUAAGUAAGUCUCUGCAGAUCCAUUCAAGAACAUAAGUUUCUAGGGAGCUAGGGAGAACGGUCUGGGAUUACCUUUAUGUCUGGUCUGCUCUAGUCACCUCAGAAGAGACGGGGGACAGAUUCGAGCACAUUAAAAUGAGAUGAGCUGUACCUUCCUCUUAAUUUUGCUAUGAAUCUAAAACUGCUCUAAAAUAAAUGGUAUUUUAAAACAUCAGAUGAGUGCUUUCUAGGAAAACUGUGACCUCAUCCAACAAACUCUUACAGUUCUCUUGCUCUGGUGGACUCUGGUUCUCAGGCCCUUAGAUCUUUCCUAAAUUAAAUACCUUAGAUCAGCAUCCCCCAAAAUAUAUGUGGAGGCUCAGAUCCUAAAGGUCUGGAUUCUAAUGUGCAACAAAAUUUGAGAAUAACUAUUCAAGACUGACCUUUGAUCUCCUACUUUUUUUUGGAAGAUCCAGGAUUCCCUAUCACUGUACUAACAGUAAUCAGGACAGGCCUUGGAAAGCAAGUAAUCUGAUUGGAGUUGCCCAACAUGAAAUUGCCAUGAAGUUAAGUUUCUGAUUCAGAGAAAAACAGAUGAAGAGAAAUUCAAUAUCAAAUUUUAUUUAGGCCUUCAUUUAUGUGAAAAAAGAUAUAUGUAUUUGUGAUCUAACAAUUUUAUUUUUAUCCUUAUAAUUUUCUAGGAAACACUCUGGGUAAAAUUUAGAAAAUGGUACAGAUAGACACAGAGCAUACUGGAAAGGCUAUACCAUGAGGUGAUACUUUGAGGAUAAGACCUUUUGAAGAUGUAGAGAAUAACUUACUUUAAUGAAACGAGAAUGAGUUAGUAUGGGAGAAGUCCUGGGUUCAAAGCUCUAGUCACUUAACUUGACAAAACCUUAGUUUACUCAGCUGUAAAAUGGAGAAAUAGCAGAUAUGUCUUUUAUAAGAUUUUUGUGAAAAUCAAAUAUGAAAAUGUAUGUUAAAGUAAUCAAUCAAGGGCUAAAAACAUACAAACUACCAAUCCACUUACAUUUCUAGAAAGUAUAUAUCAUUGGUUCAUGUGUUAAGAGAGAGCUCUCCUUCUCCACAUACAUCCUUGGGAUAAAGUUUGCCAGACACUCAGGCCUUGGGUGAAAGAAACUCUAGAGCUGAAACUCUUCCAAGUAAUUUAUAACCAUAAAGCAAACAUCUGCAAAGACUGAAAUCUGUUUAAAAUGUAGGCUACAUUUAUUUUUUCACACACUACUAUUGUCAUAUAAAAAUAACAUAAAAAUAGUAAAAAGUAAAAUUAAGAAGUCAUUGGGAAAUACCCAAUUGCCCUUUUCAUACUUGAAGUAUAGGACUCUUAGGAUGUUCACAAUCUCCAAUAUGAAGCCACUAGUCUUGUAACACUUGCAAAAGACCACAGAAAAGGUACAGAGACUAGAUGAAAUAGGAAACCCAGUAUUUGUAUUUUAUCCAACUUGUAGUUAUCAUCAAGCUGAUCACAUACUAUGUGUAACGUGCUAUGUUAGGCACAGCAAGGAAUACAGGGAAGCAUUAACCAUCAAAGAGCUUACAAUGAGGGUGGGAAAACAAAACACACACCUGUCAAUAUUUAAUUAAAACUAUGACAGAUGAAACAGCAGCCAUAUCAGAAGAUAAGAAAAUAAAAGCAACAAUUAAUAUGAUUCAAUAUGUAACAACUACAGAAAAAUACCACUCUGGUUUCUUAAAAGGAUGACAUUUAAGUGUCAUUUAUUAAAGGAUAAUUUUCAAAAAUCAGGUAAAAUCAUGAGUCUCAUAUAGAUAUAAAAUGAAUACGUGUUAAAGAUUGUUUUAAACUCAUUAUUAAUGUGGAAAACAGUAAGCUGUUACAAUCAGUUUUAAAAAUAAGUUAAAGGAGCAGAAGGUUAUG
This 3521-nucleotide long non-coding RNA is filed under the name Papio anubis (olive baboon). RNAcentral's name for it is "lncRNA (ENSPANG00000050166.1)". The record is from RNAcentral. Lineage: Eukaryota; Metazoa; Chordata; Mammalia; Primates; Cercopithecidae.